GGUUUGUGGCUCAGGGGUAGAGCACUCGCCUGGCAUGUGUGAGGCACUGGGUUCGCUCCUUAGCACCA
This 68-nucleotide transfer RNA is filed under the name Marmota monax (woodchuck). RNAcentral's name for it is "tRNA.Ala". Lineage: Eukaryota; Metazoa; Chordata; Mammalia; Rodentia; Sciuridae. The record is from RNAcentral.